AUGACUGGGGAGGUGAACAACUACUAUUUGCUUCCCGAAGAACCCGACCCCUUGCGCACCUUGCAUCAUAAGGAUAGCAUCGCCAAGGUGAUGUUUCUCGCAGCCGUGGCUAAACCAAGAUACGGCAAAGGUGGUGAGGUCACUUUUGAUGGAAAGCUCGGCAUUUGGGCUUUUGUCACAGAGUCUCCUGCUCAAAGAACCAGUGAAAACAGAGAUAAAGGGACGCUCGAGCUCAAAUCAUUGAAAGUCACACGAGAUGUAAUGAGGUAUUACAUGUGUGAGAAACUUAUUCCUGCGAUCCAAGAGCGCUCGCCGAACGAAGAUGAAGGACGGACAAUCUAUAUCCAACAAGAUAAUGCCACGCCACAUAUUCUUCCCGAUGACCCGGUUUUCUGA
This 396-nucleotide ribosomal RNA is filed under the name Triticum aestivum (bread wheat). RNAcentral's name for it is "partial small subunit ribosomal RNA". Lineage: Eukaryota; Viridiplantae; Streptophyta; Magnoliopsida; Poales; Poaceae. The record is from RNAcentral.